Molecule: ribosomal RNA, 253 nt
Filed under: uncultured bacterium
Lineage: Bacteria
Description: partial 16S ribosomal RNA
Rfam family: Bacterial small subunit ribosomal RNA
Source: RNAcentral
UACGAAGGGGGCGAGCGUUGUUCGGAAUUACUGGGCGUAAAGGGCGCGUAGGCGGUCUUUUAAGUUAGGCGUGAAAUCCCCGGGCUCAACCUGGGAACUGCGCUUAAAACUGGAGGACUAGAAAACGGAAGAGGGUAGUGGAAUUCCCAGUGUAGAGGUGAAAUUCGUAGAGAUCAGGAGGAACAUCGGAGGCGAAGGCGGCCACCUGGACAAAAACUGACGCUGAGGCACGAAAGCGUGGGGAGCGAACAGG